AGAGCCAUAUAGUGUGGCAGUGAAUAUACGUGCUAUCUCCAUCUCAGAGGUCGUCUCUACUUUUCCCUCUUGCCCUUUCAGUAUAGAUGUGAUUUCUGGUUCUCUUACAGAUUGUUUGCUUUGCGAGAUCGAAUGUUAUGUUGCAGUCUCUUGGUAAAUGAUGCCUAGUUGGUGUUUUAUUUUCAUUUAAUUUUUACAGUCUGUUCUGUAUUGAGGGAAUUCAGGAAAGAGACAAACAUAUGUUAGCAUUUUAAUCAGGGAAAUUAAGUUUGAGUCAGCCUAGCUGAACUUCCUUUGCUAAAUAAAGAAGAAAACUUUUCUGGCAGCCCCGUUAAUACACAGCUAGGAUACCUCACGAGCCUGACAGAUGCAUCCAAGAAGUCAGAUUCAAAUCCGCUGACUGAAAUACUUAAGUGUCCUACUAAAGUGGUCCUACUAAGGAACAUGGUUGGUGCAGGAGAGGUGGAUGAAGACUUGGAAGUUGAAACCAAGGAAGAAUGUGAAAAAUAUGGCAAAGUUGGAAAAUGUGUGAUAUUUGAAAUUCCUGGUGCCCCUGAUGAUGAAGCAGUACGGAUAUUUUUAGAAUUUGAGAGAGUUGAAUCAGCAAUUAAAGCGGUUGUUGACUUGAAUGGGAGGUAUUUUGGUGGACGGGUGGUAAAAGCAUGUUUCUACAAUUUGGACAAAUUCAGGGUCUUGGAUUUGGCAGAACAAGUUUGAUUUUAAGAACUAGAGCACGAGUCAUCUCCGGUGAUCCUUAAGUGAACUGCAGGCUGAGAAAAGAAGGAAAAAGGUCACAGCCUCAUGGCUGUUGCAUACCAAGACUCUUGGAAGGACUUCUAAGAUAUAUGUUGAUUGAUCCCUUUUUUAUUUUGUGGUUUUUUAAUAUAGUAUAAAAAUCCUUUUAAAAAAACAACAAUCUGUGUGCC
Molecule: small RNA, 926 nt
Filed under: Pongo abelii (Sumatran orangutan)
Lineage: Eukaryota; Metazoa; Chordata; Mammalia; Primates; Hominidae
Description: processed transcript
Source: RNAcentral